This 278-nucleotide ribosomal RNA is filed under the name uncultured bacterium. RNAcentral describes it as "partial 16S ribosomal RNA". It matches the Rfam family "Bacterial small subunit ribosomal RNA", at positions 506 to 789 of the family's 1533-position model. The record is from RNAcentral.
UGCCAGCAGCCGCGGUAAUACGAAGGUCCCAAGCGUUGUUCGGAAUCACUGGGCGUAAAGCGUGUGUAGGCUGCGCGGAAAGUCGAAUGUGAAAGCCCGGGGCUCAACCUCGGAACUGCAUUCGAUACUCCCGUGCUAGAGUAAUGGAGAGGUAAGAGGAAUUCCUGGUGUAGCAGUGAAAUGCGUGGAUAUCAGGAGGAACAUCAAUGGCGAAGGCAACUUACUGGACAUUUACUGACGCUCAGACACGAAGGCUAGGUCCCUUCGUAUUACCGCGG